CCUACGGUAGGCAGCAGUGAGGAAUAGUGGUCAAUGGGCGCGAGCCUGAACCAGCCAAGUCGCGUGAGGGAAGACGGUCCUAUGGAUUGUAAACCUCUUUUGUCGGGGAGCAAAAGACGCCACGCGUGGCGUUCCGAGAGUACCCGAAGAAAAAGCAUCGGCUAACUCCGUGCCAGCAGCCGCGGUAAUACGGAGGAUGCGAGCGUUAUCCGGCUUUAUUGGGUUUAACGGGUGCGCAGGCGGAAGAUCAAGUCAGCGGUAAAAUUGAGAGGCUCAACCUCUUCGAGCCGUUGAAACUGGUUUUCUUGAGUGAGCGAGAAGUAUGCGGAAUGUGUGGUGUAGCGGUGAAAUGCAUAGAUAUCACGCAGAACUCCGAUUGCGAAGGCAGCAUACCGGCGCUCAACUGACGCUCAUGCACGAAAGUGUGGGUAUCGAACAGGAUGAGAUACCCCUGUAGUC
RNAcentral lists this ribosomal RNA (459 nucleotides) under uncultured bacterium. RNAcentral describes it as "partial 16S ribosomal RNA". It matches the Rfam family "Bacterial small subunit ribosomal RNA", at positions 338 to 795 of the family's 1533-position model. The record is from RNAcentral.